GCAGUAAUGAAUAUAUAUAUAUAUAUAUAUAUAUAUAGAGUUGAGCUAGAAUACUCUCGAUAGUAAACGGAGCAUAUUACUAUCGAGUUGUUUUCGAUGAUAGAGCUUCCAAAUUGACGAUCGGCUCCGUUAAAUAUGAUCUAAACCAUUUAAACUAUCUAAAAAUCAAAUUUCACGCAGUUUCGAUAUUGUUCUUUUAUCCAUCUAGUGAACAGAAUAUGAAUGGUUGAAAAUGAAUAUUCUUUAAAAAAUGAUGAUAGGAGUCUUGUAAUCAAGAUCAAGAGUAUAGAUCUUGUUUUAAAUAGUUUAAAGAAUUUUCUAACAAAAAUUCAAUUGAUUUGGAU
RNAcentral lists this long non-coding RNA (344 nucleotides) under Ananas comosus (pineapple). RNAcentral's name for it is "long non-coding RNA (ACOM_LNC020990)". Lineage: Eukaryota; Viridiplantae; Streptophyta; Magnoliopsida; Poales; Bromeliaceae. The record is from RNAcentral.